AAGAAAUAUAAUAUGGGUUA
RNAcentral lists this small nuclear RNA (20 nucleotides) under Arabidopsis thaliana (thale cress). Its description in RNAcentral is "snRNA_10656". The record is from RNAcentral. Lineage: Eukaryota; Viridiplantae; Streptophyta; Magnoliopsida; Brassicales; Brassicaceae.